ACAUGAGCUGGCAAUGUGCACUGGCAGCCCAGAAAGCCAACCACAUCCUGGGCUGCAUCAAGAGAAGUGUGGCCAGCAGGUCAUGGGAGGUGAUUCUGCCCCUCUACUCUGCACUCGUGAGACCCCACCUGGAGUACUGUGUCCAGCUUUAGAGUCCUCAACACAGGAAGGACACGGAUCUGCUGGAACGGGUCCAGUGGAGGGCCAUGAAGAUAAUUAGAGAGAUGGAGCAUCUCUCCUAUGAGGACAGGCUGAGAAAGCUGGGGUUGUUCAGCCUGGAGAAGGCUCCCGGGAGACCUUAUAGCGGCCUUUCAAUAUCUGAAGGGGCUACAGGAGAGCCAGAGAGGGACUCUUUGUCAGGGCACUCCCUGAAAGGACAAGGGGCAACGGUUUUAAAUUGGAAGAGGGGAGAUUUAGAUUAGAUACUAGAAAGAAAUUCUUUCCUGUGAGGGUGGUGAGACACUGGAACAGGUUGCCCAGGGAAGUUGUGGCUGCCCCAUCCCUGGAGGGGUUCAAGGCCAGGCUGGAUGGGGCUUUGAGCAACCUGCUCUAGUGGGAGGUGUCCCUGCCAGGGCAGGGGGGUUAGAACUUGAUGAUCUUUAAGGUCCCUUCCAACUCUGACCAUUCUACGAUUCUAUGGUUUUUUUCAGAGCGAAUAUCACAAAUCCCAGAAUUCACGACUUGUGUGGAGUCAGGAAAAGAUUUUCAGCUAGACACGAGAUGGGCCCAGCGAGUCAAUGGACAAGGUACAACUUCUGCAAGGUUGCGUGCCUGUCCCUGAUAUGGCUGUGUCUCCUGCCAGAGCAUCCCGAUGAUAACCUCUGGAGAUCACACCCCACAGGCUCACAUCCUCACUCGCACGGUGACGGCCGCAACGAUGAGGAGCAGCGGGAGGAAUCAGGAACCAAAACCAACUCGGGAUACAGCAUCCAAAAGCUCGACGAUCUGAAGGUAGGGAAACUGCUUGGUGCAUUUGACAGUAAUCAAAAUACAAACAUGGUCCUGAGGGGCAAGAGGACAUUUUGGUGUGAGAAGGAAGCAGACCAGUGCAGCAUGAAACAAAAA
RNAcentral lists this long non-coding RNA (1065 nucleotides) under Calidris pygmaea (Spoon-billed sandpiper). RNAcentral's name for it is "lncRNA (ENSCPGG00000013490.1)". Lineage: Eukaryota; Metazoa; Chordata; Aves; Charadriiformes; Scolopacidae. The record is from RNAcentral.